Molecule: small nucleolar RNA, 115 nt
Organism: Podarcis raffonei (Aeolian wall lizard)
Lineage: Eukaryota; Metazoa; Chordata; Lepidosauria; Squamata; Lacertidae
Product: small nucleolar RNA U13
Exons: 1
Source: RefSeq, a predicted model, not a curated record
AUCUUUUUGUAGCAUCAUCAAAGAGCCUUGGGAUACUUUAAAAGUGGGUCAUCAUGCACCUGCAUGAGAUGUGCAGUCCCGAAUUGUUACAACAGGGCACAGUACCCUUCUGAUC